UAGGGAAUCUUCCGCAAUGGACGCAAGUCUGACGGAGCAACGCCGCGUGAGUGAAGAAGGAUUUCGGUUCGUAAAACUCUGUUGUUAGAGAAGAACAGCGCAUAGAGUAACUGUUAUGCGUGUGACGGUAUCUAACCAGAAAGCCACGGCUAACUACGUGCCAGCAGCCGCGGUAAUACGUAGGUGGCAAGCGUUGUCCGGAUUUAUUGGGCGUAAAGCGAGCGCAGGCGGUCAAUUAAGUCUGAUGUGAAAGCCCCCGGCUCAACCGGGGAGGGUCAUUGGAAACUGGUUGACUUGAGUGCAGAAGAGGAGAGUGGAAUUCCAUGUGUAGGGGUAAAAUGCGUAGAUAUAUGGAGGAACACCGGUGGCGAAAGCGGCUCUCUGGUCUGUAACUGACGCUGAGGCUCGAAAGCGUGGGGAGCGAACAGG
RNAcentral lists this ribosomal RNA (429 nucleotides) under Bacteroidota bacterium. RNAcentral describes it as "Bacteroidetes bacterium partial 16S ribosomal RNA". It matches the Rfam family "Bacterial small subunit ribosomal RNA", at positions 355 to 776 of the family's 1533-position model. Lineage: Bacteria; Pseudomonadati; Bacteroidota. The record is from RNAcentral.